RNAcentral lists this ribosomal RNA (253 nucleotides) under uncultured bacterium. RNAcentral's name for it is "partial 16S ribosomal RNA". It matches the Rfam family "Bacterial small subunit ribosomal RNA", at positions 524 to 776 of the family's 1533-position model. The record is from RNAcentral.
UACAGAGGUCCCAAGCGUUGUUCGGAUUCAUUGGGCGUAAAGGGUGCGUAGGCGGGUCUUUAAGUCAGGGGUGAAAUCCUGGAGCUCAACUCCAGAACUGCCUUUGAUACUGAAGAUCUUGAGUUCGGGAGAGGUGAGUGGAACUGCGAGUGUAGAGGUGAAAUUCGUAGAUAUUCGCAAGAACACCAGUGGCGAAGGCGGCUCACUGGCCCGAUACUGACGCUGAGGCACGAAAGCGUGGGGAGCAAACAGG